This 859-nucleotide ribosomal RNA is filed under the name Streptomyces sp. Its description in RNAcentral is "bacterial SSU rRNA". It matches the Rfam family "Bacterial small subunit ribosomal RNA", at positions 96 to 964 of the family's 1533-position model. Lineage: Bacteria; Bacillati; Actinomycetota; Actinomycetes; Kitasatosporales; Streptomycetaceae. The record is from RNAcentral.
UGGCGAUCGGGUGAGUAACACGUGGGCAAUCUGCCCUUCACUCUGGGACAAGCCCUGGAAACGGGGUCUAAUACCGGAUAAUACUUUCCUCCGCAUGGGGGAGGGUUGAAAGCUCCGGCGGUGAAGGAUGAGCCCGCGGCCUAUCAGCUUGUUGGUGGGGUGAUGGCCUACCAAGGCGACGACGGGUAGCCGGCCUGAGAGGGCGACCGGCCACACUGGGACUGAGACACGGCCCAGACUCCUACGGGAGGCAGCAGUGGGGAAUAUUGCACAAUGGGCGAAAGCCUGAUGCAGCGACGCCGCGUGAGGGAUGACGGCCUUCGGGUUGUAAACCUCUUUCAGCAGGGAAGAAGCGCAAGUGACGGUACCUGCAGAAGAAGCACCGGCUAACUACGUGCCAGCAGCCGCGGUAAUACGUAGGGUGCGAGCGUUGUCCGGAAUUAUUGGGCGUAAAGAGCUCGUAGGCGGCUUGUCACGUCGGAUGUGAAAGCCCGGGGCUUAACCCCGGGUCUGCAUUCGAUACGGGCAGGCUAGAGUGUGGUAGGGGAGAUCGGAAUUCCUGGUGUAGCGGUGACAUGCGCAGAUAUCAGGAGGAACACCGGUGGCGAAGGCGGAUCUCUGGGCCAUUACUGACGCUGAGGAGCGAAAGCGUGGGGAGCGAACAGGAUUAGAUACCCUGGUAGUCCACGCCGUAAACGUUGGGAACUAGGUGUUGGCGACAUUCCACGUCGUCGGUGCCGCAGCUAACGCAUUAAGUUUCCCCGCCUGGGGAGUACGGCCGCAGGCUAAACUCAAAGGAAUUGACGGGGGCCCGCACAAGCAGCGGAGCAUGGUGGCUUUAAUUUCGACGCAACCGCGA